RNAcentral lists this ribosomal RNA (442 nucleotides) under uncultured bacterium. RNAcentral's name for it is "partial 16S ribosomal RNA". It matches the Rfam family "Bacterial small subunit ribosomal RNA", at positions 338 to 795 of the family's 1533-position model. The record is from RNAcentral.
CCUACGGGAGGCAGCAGUGGGGAAUAUUGGGCAAUGGGCGCAAGCCUGACCCAGCAACGCCGCGUGAAGGAAGAAGGCUCUCGGGUUGUAAACUUCUUUUAAGAGGGAAGAGCAGAAGACGGUACCUCUUGAAUAAGCCACGGCUAACUACGUGCCAGCAGCCGCGGUAAUACGUAGGUAGCAAGCGUUGUCCGGAUUUACUGGGUGUAAAGGGCGUGCAGCCGGGAAGACAAGUCAGAUGUGAAAUCCCGCGGCUCAACCGCGGAACUGCAUUUGAAACUGUUUUUCUUGAGUACCGGAGAGGUCAUCGGAAUUCGUUGUGUAGCGGUGAAAUGCGUAGAUAUAAGGAAGAACACCAGUGGCGAAGGCAGAUGACUGGACGGCAACUGACGGUGAGGCGCGAAAGCGUGGGGAGCAAACAGGAUUAGAUACCCGAGUAGUC